Molecule: non-coding RNA, 47 nt
Organism: Enterobius vermicularis (human pinworm)
Lineage: Eukaryota; Metazoa; Nematoda; Chromadorea; Rhabditida; Oxyuridae
Source: Rfam
CCAACGGCCCUCUUUAGGGCCACAAAUCAAUAAAUUGGACGUUCAGU